RNAcentral lists this ribosomal RNA (468 nucleotides) under uncultured bacterium. Its description in RNAcentral is "partial 16S ribosomal RNA". It matches the Rfam family "Bacterial small subunit ribosomal RNA", at positions 28 to 507 of the family's 1533-position model. The record is from RNAcentral.
AGUGAACGCUGGCGGCGUGCUUAACACAUGCAAGUCGAACGGAAAGGCCCUAGCUUGUUUGUGUUCUGGAGUGCCGAACGGGUGAGUAUGACGUGGGUGAUCUGAUCUGCACUUCGGUAUAGGCUUGGGUAGCUGGGUCUACUCUCGGAUCGGAUGAUGGUUUGGAUGCCAUUGUGGAAAGCUUCUUCGGUGUGGGAUGAGAUUGCGGCGUAUCAGCUUUAUGGAGGGGGAGUGGCCUACCCCGGCGUCGACGAGGAGCCGUCCUGGGAGGGUGUAGGGACACAUUGGGACUGAGAGACGGCCCAGACUCCGGCGGGAUGCAGCAGUGGGGAAAAUUGGACAAUGGGCGCAAGCCUGAUGCAGCGACGCCUCGUGGUUGAUGACGGCCUUCGGGUUGUAAGAACCUUUCGCUAGGGACGAAGCGUUGUUGUGACGGUACCUGGAGAAGAAGCACCGGCUAACUACGUG